This is an unclassified non-coding RNA of Erinaceus europaeus (western European hedgehog), 309 nucleotides long. Its record names the gene 7SK. It matches the Rfam family "7SK RNA". From Rfam's summary of the family: 7SK was discovered as an abundant small nuclear RNA in the mid-70s but a possible function has only recently been suggested. The record is from Ensembl. NCBI's taxonomy places the organism in Eukaryota, Metazoa, Chordata, Mammalia, Eulipotyphla, Erinaceidae.
GAAUGUGAGGGUGAACUGGCUGCGACAUCUGUCACCCUGUUGACCGCCAGGGUUGAUUCAGCUGAUCUGGCUGGCUAGGCGGGUGUCCCGUUCCUCCCCUUCCAUGUGCGUCCCUCCCUGUGUACUUGGUUGGAGAGCAUGGCCUUCCUUGAACAGAGAAAGACAGGUCUUCAGUCCAGGGUAUAGGAGUGGCUUCGCUCUCCUGCUAGAACCUCCAGACAAGCUCAGAUUUACCCUUCUUGUUUCUAUCUUUAAUAUUUAUAGCUUUUUAAAUUACUUGUAUAACAAUACAUCAUUUUGAUAGUUUAU